Molecule: long non-coding RNA, 3846 nt
Organism: Hippopotamus amphibius kiboko
Lineage: Eukaryota; Metazoa; Chordata; Mammalia; Artiodactyla; Hippopotamidae
Exons: 4
Source: RefSeq, a predicted model, not a curated record
GGGAGGGGGUUUGAAGCCUCAGGGCUAAGGAGCUGUGUUCUGAAGAGUAAAGGAACGCGGACCCAGCCGUGGCUUAGGAACACCUAGUCAGGGGCUGCGGUUGGCCACAGGGCAGCCACGGCUGUGGGAACAUGACUCGGAGCUGCUGCGCUCAGCUGAGAGGUGACUGCUCACCGGCGGCUGUGAUGAGAAAGCCGUGGACAGGGAACAGAUGUGAGUGUCUUGGGGGCCCUGAGACGUAUGGGUAGACCCUCAGCCCCUGACAGAACAGAUCUGGGGACUCCUAGCUCAAGUCCUCUCUCUCCACUGGAAGGUCACCAUCAAGCUCAGCCCCUAAACUCCAAGCCCCAACUACGAGAAAAUUCUGGAGGCACCAUUAAGGCCAUCAACACCACGAUGCCCCAAGAUGGAACCUCCCCACUGUCUGGAUCUAUAAGCCCGAGCAUUCUCUGAUCCGUCGCCUCCCCAGGCAAGGUUGUACCACCAGGCCCUGGACUAGAUCUAUGGGACAGCAGCGAACAGGCUACACGCACCAUCUACUGGGGGUCCUCUGCUGGCUGCCCCUUUUUCUGCUCCAGGGUCUGUAUGCAUUUCGUCCACUGCUCUCAGCCUGGAGUUCAGUAUGGGUUAGGUCCCUAAGCCCACGUUCCUCAAUGCUGACCUUGCCUCCGACCUCCCCUCAUCCCCUGGCCCAGGGCUCAGCAGGGGCGGUGCCUGGUGUGGACUGACAGGCGCGGGAGCUCACCUGCUGGCUGAGGGCAGGGAGAACUCGGGCUGGAGCAGGCCCAGCCUUUGCUUCCUACUUGAUGAGAGCGGGCCUUCAGGCCAUGCCUGCUCCACCCUGGAAUCUCACCUCUUGGAGUGGGCACAGGUGGGUGAAGAUCACCCCACCUUGCCAGGCUCCGUCCUGUCUUUUUGAGAGGACUGGUCUCUCGGCAGCUCAGGAGCUCACUUCCUAGCCAGUUAACGUCACCCGUGGCUGCCUUUGUCCUCCUUGGGCUCUCCCCUGAUCACCUGUCGGCUCCUGAUCUUCACGCUGGGGAGGCGAAGAAAGGCGAGAUGGCAGCUCUUAGGGAAGAGUCUCUGCCAGCUGGUAAAAAAUGUGUCUGCCCUAGAAGAUGACACUGUGAUCACUGUCUCCCUGAGGACACUGGCCUGGUGGACAGAUGCUGACAUUUCCCGGUGGUCCAGCUCCUUGACAGGGAGGCUGUGGACACGAGCCCCACCCCUUUCCCAGACAGUCCCCAGAGGGCUCUCCUCAAAUGGCAUGGGCUCCGUCCAUCUGUCCAAAAUCCCACAGCCUUCCUGGUUGGCGAGGACAGAGUGCCUUUGUAUUAGAAUUAGUACAGAGGUAUAGUCCUGGAGGAGAGCAAGGGCGUGCCCAAUAGAUCUAUCUCAUAACAACCUCAGCUGAAAGCACAAGCUAAAAUAGCUCUGAGCUGCUCAGGAGUUGUGCCCUCCCCUUGACCUACACCCUCGUGAGGAUUCCCACAGCUUGAGUCCCCUGCCACGUCCCUGCAGAUAACCGAGCAGCUGGUCCUCCAUGGCUGGGGCAGCCCUGACGGCAGUGGAAGGAGGAGAGUAGGUGUUGUCUUGGGUUUGCUCCCCGAGGAAGCAACGCACCAUUAUACCAACACCCAAAUAUCGGGUUCAUGCUACCAGAUUGGGCCCCGCCUGGUGACUCAGCUGGGCAGGCACCCCUGAAGGCCUCCAGCACCAUCAAUUACCUGCCUCGCUCUGGUACCCAAUUUCAGCUGGGCCUCAGGCUGCAAGGCAGGCUGGGCGGCAGCCUGGCCAUGUUCUUCAAGCUGACACGCUGAGAUCCAGGCUGUGGUUGUGUUCCGUGCACAGGAAUCCUGACGUGUCUGACGCAGGGUCUGCAUCCAAAAAUCUCCUGAGGGCUGAGGGAGGGAGCCACUUCUAUCAGGUUUCAGAGUCUCUCCCUGUUCUCCUCCAUCUUCUCCCAGCAACCGGGAUUGGCCUUCAACCAGCCUGUCAAGCAUCUCCCCUCAGGCACCAAGGAACAAUGGCCAAGGAGCCACCGGGCCCACCCCAUCCUCAGCCUGCCUCUGAGAACCUUGGUUAUCUCCCUCCCACCUUCCCUGUUGGAGGAUCACACUGAACUUGCCGGGAAGGCCCAGAGAGGGUGCCCUUUCCCAGCUCCACUGGAGGUCAGUGAAGGGACUGUCCGCUCCCCAGACCCACCAGCCCAUUUCACACAGGUCUCAUUAGAAGAGGGUUCUUUCUCCCCCUGAGUGGAAAUCAGCCUCCCUGCAACAUCUUGUGCUGCGGUAUGGAGCUCUGCAGAAGAAGAUCAAUUCCUCUCUCCCUUUGGUGACUUUAUUUUUAUAUUGGGGGACAUUUCUCGGUCACCGUCUCUCUCUGACGCAGAGGGCACUGGCUCCCAGGGAGAGUAAUCCGGUCACCUCCCAAGCUGUGUGCACUGUGGCAGCCUGGCUGACCCUGCGCGUCUCCCUGCCCCGGGAGCUGGCUGCAGGCCCUGUAGCCACCCCAGCCCCCAGCUGGGAUUUCUGGCCCCUCCAGCCUGUGCCUGUUUGCUCCUCUCUAAUAUGGGUACAGCUCCGCGCGCGUUUCCCAGACCACAGUCAUCCAAGUGCCACUGUCAGGAUUUUGCCCAUGUCUCCAAACCGCUUGCACUGUUAUUUUCUUUAAUAUUCUUUCUUUAAACUGGCUUGCCUCAUAUACUUAUUUUAUACGGUAACGUUGUAAACUACCGACUGACAUCUUUUCUAAUACGCAUCAAAAUAACGCCAGAACUACAAAACGGCCUGAAAUGAUUUUGUGUGCCAGCAGUGCUAGCUGUUCCCUGUCUCACUUUGGAACAGGAAUAGACCCGGCCCUCCAUUUCCUGGUUCCUUGCAUCCAUUCUCCAGCCAUAGAGCCAGGCCUUGCUCUCUGCUCUUGGGCCUCAACUCUCGCCAAGCCAGGAGCCCCGUCGGGGGCACUUAGGGGAGAUGGGGGCCGGGGCGAUAACCUGGGCUGCUUUGCAUUCUCAGAACGUCCAGCUGUGAACCUGGGCCAACAGGUACACCUGACCCAGCGUCAGGGAGGUGGGGAGUCCAUUUCUGUAAUUAUACCGCUGGGUGUCUGGAAACCACAAAUGAGCACUUAGAAAGCCAAAUUAGAGUCCUUAGAGGGUGAGAGGGUGAGCGUCGUGAGCUUCUGACCAGGCAGUCACAACAACCAGGGCUGUGGGCGGUUCGGCCCAGGUGUGUUUCAGAGACGAGGGAGGUAGCUGAGGCUCCCGAGCCCAUCCCCACCUGAGACAGGUAGCACCUACCUAGAGACGCUGAGAGGCACUCUCCCUGGCCUCAGGGGAAAAGUCCUACAAAGCUGCUCCCCUCGAGGCAUCUGCCAUCUCCCCAGGGCACCAGGUUCACGACCAUGACCACGCUGGCCGCUCCCUGAGGGUGGCCCUGAUCGCAUGGGCAUCAGGAGCCUUGUGUGGCCUUGACCACGUCUGGUGGUCCUGCCCAGUUCGUGGUGGUCGCUGCAGCCUCACCCUUUGCCCUCCCUGACCCAUAUCGUUGGCCUCACACAGAGCCCCCAGCUGCUCUGGAAUACUUCUCCCAAUACCAGGGUUUCAGACCUGCCUCCUAAAGACAUAGCCAGGCCCUGGAGCAGACACAAGACGGGGACAGUGAAUUUCCCAUCCCCCUCUCCAGCACACUGUACACCAUCAGGGUAGGAGAGUGUGGGGCCACUUCUGGUUGGUGACCCUAAGCACAUUUCAUAGUCUCUCCAGCCCUAAGUUUCUUUCUUUAUAUAAAACGGGGAUGCUGAUGGAAUUGUUGAUGAAGACGGAAUAAAGAAACAUCCUUAAAG